Salvelinus namaycush (lake trout) is the source of this 631-nucleotide long non-coding RNA. RefSeq lists it as uncharacterized. The transcript has 6 exons. The record is from RefSeq and is a predicted model, not a curated record. NCBI's taxonomy places the organism in Eukaryota, Metazoa, Chordata, Actinopteri, Salmoniformes, Salmonidae.
CUCUCUACCACACCUCGUCCAGAGCAGAGGAACAGAAAGCCCCCUGCCCAGCCCAGGGAUAGCCAGACCGCUGAGAGGAUGAAACUCUGACAAGCCGACAGACCGCAGGGAAACGAGCACAACUGCCCACAGAUAAUUGGUUGAAGGGAGAGUCCAGGAAGGUCAGCCAAGAAAGCAGCCGUAGGUGCCAGCGUGAAAUCUACAGGAACUACAAUUACUUCAACAGUGAGCCGCUGGAACAAGGUGAAUGACAGACGCUGCUUCACACAGAGUAAUGCUGAGACUGGCUUAGGCUUGCAGCACCACUGAAGACUUACACGGCUCUAGACAAUGACUAUUAGCCCCAAGGCCAGCGAACAGUGAUCAACUGACCUCUGAGACAGGUUGUAUCUGACAGAGAGAGGACCACCGCCACGCUCCAGCCCCGCUCCAACCCACUGGUUCGUUAGUAUCAACAGUGAGUGAAUCACCCAGCUUUGGCCCGUCCGGCGUUACCUGUACAUGGAGACCCCCAGCUGGGCAGGAAACACCUUGUGUAAAUCAGGAAGCAUUGCUGUCUUCGGGAACGUGGUGUACAGCGGGCUGCUCAACGAGCACCUCUGGCAUUUAGGAGUUCCCCUCUUCACGAGAC